AAUGAACGCUGGCGGCGUGCUUAACACAUGCAAGUCGAACGAGAAAGGGAUUGCUUGCAAUCCUGAGUAGAGUGGCGCACGGGUGAGUAACACGUAAAUAAUCUACCUUCAAGCCUGGGAUAACUAUCCGAAAGGGUGGCUAAUACCGGAUGAAGUAUAUUGUCAUAAGUCAAUAUAUGAAAGAUUGCCUCUUCUUGAAAGCAAUUGUUUGAAGAUGAGUUUGCGGACCAUUAGUUUGUUGGUGGGGUAAUGGCCUACCAAGACUGCGAUGGUUAGCUGGUCUGAGAGGAUGAUCAGCCACACUGGAACUGGAACACGGUCCAG
RNAcentral lists this ribosomal RNA (324 nucleotides) under uncultured Desulfobacter sp. Its description in RNAcentral is "bacterial SSU rRNA". It matches the Rfam family "Bacterial small subunit ribosomal RNA", at positions 29 to 334 of the family's 1533-position model. The record is from RNAcentral. Lineage: Bacteria; Pseudomonadati; Thermodesulfobacteriota; Desulfobacteria; Desulfobacterales; Desulfobacteraceae.